GCUAGUAAUGGCAGGUCAGCAUACUGCCGUGAAUACGUUCCCGGGCCUUGUACACACCGCCCGUCACACCAUGAGAGUUGGGAAUACCCGAAGCCUGUGAGCUAACUUUUAAGAGGCAGCAGUCGAAGGUAGAAUCAAUGAUUGGGGUGAAGUCGUAACAAGGUAGC
RNAcentral lists this ribosomal RNA (167 nucleotides) under uncultured bacterium. RNAcentral describes it as "partial 16S ribosomal RNA". It matches the Rfam family "Bacterial small subunit ribosomal RNA", at positions 1334 to 1500 of the family's 1533-position model. The record is from RNAcentral.